This 713-nucleotide ribosomal RNA is filed under the name uncultured archaeon. RNAcentral's name for it is "bacterial SSU rRNA". It matches the Rfam family "Archaeal small subunit ribosomal RNA", at positions 152 to 867 of the family's 1478-position model. The record is from RNAcentral.
CCGGAUAAUCCGUGAACGCUGGAAUGCCUCACGGUUGAAAGCUUUAGCGUCUGAGGAUGGGUCUGCGGCCGAUUAGGUAGUUGCUGGGGUAACGUCCCAACAAGCCAAUAAUCGGUACGGGUUGUGAGAGCAAGAGCCCGGAGAUGGAUUCUGAGACACGAAUCCAGGCCCUACGGGGCGCAGCAGGCGCGAAAACUUUACACUGCGCGAAAGCGCGAUAAGGGGACCUCGAGUGCGUGCGCAAUGCGUACGCUUUUCAGAUGCCUAAAAAGCAUGUGGAAUAAGGGCCGGGCAAGACCGGUGCCAGCCGCCGCGGUAACACCGGCGGCUCAAGUGGUGGCCGCUAUUAUUGGGCUUAAAGGGUCCGUAGCCGGACCAGUUAGUCCCUUGGGAAAUCUUACGGCUUAACCGUAAGGCUGCCAAUGGAUACUGCUGGUCUUGGGACCGGGAGAGGUAAGAGGUACUUCAGGGGUAGGAGUGAAAUCCUGUAAUCCUUGAGGGACCGCCAGUGGCGAAGGCGUCUUACUAGAACGGGUCCGACGGUGAGGGACGAAAGCUAGGGGCACGAACCGGAUUAGAUACCCGGGUAGUCCUAGCCGUAAACGAUGCGAGCUAGGUGUCACGUGGAUUGCGAAUCCAUGUGGUGCCGAAGGGAAACCGUGAAGCUCGCCGCCUGGGAAGUACGGCCGCAAGGCUGAAACUUAAAGGAAUUG